GGGGUUGUGGCUCAGUGGUAGAGUACUUGCCUAGCAUGUGUGAGGCCCUGGGUUCAAUCCCCAGCACCA
Molecule: transfer RNA, 69 nt
Filed under: Ictidomys tridecemlineatus (thirteen-lined ground squirrel)
Lineage: Eukaryota; Metazoa; Chordata; Mammalia; Rodentia; Sciuridae
Description: Spermophilus tridecemlineatus (thirteen-lined ground squirrel) tRNA
Rfam family: tRNA
About the family: Transfer RNA (tRNA) molecules are approximately 80 nucleotides in length. Their secondary structure includes four short double-helical elements and three loops (D, anti-codon, and T loops).
Source: Rfam by way of RNAcentral